GGAAGUAAAAGUCGUAACAAGAUUUCCGUAGGUGAACCUGCGGAAGGAUCAUUCAUAAUAAGUGCUCUACUGCACUUUUUAAAAAUAGUACUCGCCUUGUGUGCAAUGUUUGUUAGACUCUUUCGGGAGUCUGACAUUUAUACCAACCUUUUAUAUUUUGAACCACUUUGUCUGAAAAAUAUUAUGAAUACUUAAUUCUAAAUACAACUUUCAACAACGGAUCUCUUGGCUCUC
Molecule: unclassified non-coding RNA, 234 nt
Filed under: plant metagenome
Description: partial contains small subunit ribosomal RNA, internal transcribed spacer 1, and 5.8S ribosomal RNA
Rfam family: Eukaryotic small subunit ribosomal RNA (bases 1-54)
Source: RNAcentral